AGUCGAGCGCAGGAACCAGCUGAUCCCCUUCGGGGGUGACGCUGGUGGAAUGAGCGGCGGACGGGUGAGUAACACGUGGGCAACCUGCCUGUAAGACCGGAAUAACCCCGGGAAACCGGGGCUAAUGCCGGGUAACACCUUCUCUCGCAUGAGGGGAGGUUGAAAGAUGGCUUCUCGCUAUCGCUUACAGAUGGGCCCGCGGCGCAUUAGCUAGUUGGUGAGGUAACAGCUCACCAAGGCGACGAUGCGUAGCCGACCUGAGAGGGUGAUCGGCCACACUGGGACUGAGACACGGCCCAGACUCCUACGGGAGGCAGCAGUAGGGAAUCUUCCGCAAUGGACGAAAGUCUGACGGAGCAACGCCGCGUGAACGAUGAAGGUCUUCGGAUCGUAAAGUUCUGUUGUUAGGGAAGAACAAGUGCCGUGCGAAUAGAGCGGCACCUUGACGGUACCUAACGAGGAAGCCCCGGCUAACUACGUGCCAGCAGCCGCGGUAAUACGUAGGGGGCAAGCGUUGUCCGGAAUUAUUGGGCGUAAAGCGCGCGCAGGCGGUUCCUUAAGUCUGAUGUGAAAGCCCACGGCUCAACCGUGGAGGGUCAUUGGAAACUGGGGAACUUGAGGACAGAAGAGGAGAGUGGAAUUCCACGUGUAGCGGUGAAAUGCGCAGA
Molecule: ribosomal RNA, 668 nt
Filed under: Halobacillus sp. SCULCB HVA-9
Lineage: Bacteria; Bacillati; Bacillota; Bacilli; Caryophanales; Bacillaceae
Description: bacterial SSU rRNA
Rfam family: Bacterial small subunit ribosomal RNA
Source: RNAcentral